GGCUCGCGGCCUAUCAGCUUGUUGGUGGGGUGAUGGCCUACCAAGGCGGUGACGGGUAGCCGGCCUGAGAGGGUGACCGGCCACACUGGGACUGAGACACGGCCCAGACUCCUACGGGAGGCAGCAGUGGGGAAUAUUGCACAAUGGGCGGAAGCCUGAUGCAGCGACGCCGCGUGAGGGAUGACGGCCUUCGGGUUGUAAACCUCUUUCGGUAGGGAAGAAGCCUUCGGGUGACGGUACCUGCGGAAGAAGCGCCGGCUAACUACGUGCCAGCAGCCGCGGUAAUACGUAGGGCGCAAGCGUUGUCCGGAAUUAUUGGGCGUAAAGAGCUCGUAGGCGGCCUGUCGCGUCUGCUGUGAAAGCCCGGGGCUUAACUCCGGGUCUGCAGUGGGUACGGGCGGGCUGGAGUGCGGUAGGGGAGACUGGAAUUCCUGGUGUAGCGGUGGAAUGCGCAGAUAUCAGGAGGAACACCGGUGGCGAAGGCGGGUCU
This 490-nucleotide ribosomal RNA is filed under the name uncultured bacterium. RNAcentral's name for it is "bacterial SSU rRNA". It matches the Rfam family "Bacterial small subunit ribosomal RNA", at positions 228 to 728 of the family's 1533-position model. The record is from RNAcentral.